AGUUUUAAAAAUGUAAGUUUCUCUGCACAAGCUCUCUUUUUGCCUGCUGCCAUCCACGUAAGAUGUGACUUGCACCUCCUUGUCUUCUGCCACGAUUGUGAGGCUUCCCCAGCCAUGUGGAACUACAUCUACCCCUGGAGAAAGAGCCCAAUGAGAAGUAAUCUCUGAAGCCCAGAUUUCCUAAGGAUGAAGCUUCAGGAGAGGCCUUAUCAAUCCUGACAACAAACUUUUCUCGUCAAUUUAGUUUCAUUUAAUGGAAGUUUUAAAUGUGUAAAGUUCAGAAGGCUAUUAAAAUUGGUUCCAGCUAUCUAAGAUACACACACAACCACACACGCGCACACACGAAUACAAAUAUGCCUUCCCAAUCAUCUCCCAAAGUCUCAACUCAUUCCAGCGUUAACUCAAAGACCAAAAUUCAAAGUCUCAUCUGAAACAAGGUGUUGCCAAAGGAGAUUAUUAUUUGAGUCAGAGGACUGGGAGAAGCAGACCUACCCUCGAUCUGGGUGGGUGUCAUCUAGUCAGCUGCCAGUGUGGCUAGAAUGAAGCAGGCAGAAGUUGGAAAGAGCAGACCUGCUGAGUCUUCUGGCCCUCACCGUUCUCCCGUGCUGGAUUCUUCUGGCCCUCAAACAUCAGACUCCACGUUCUUCAGCUUUUGGACUCAUGGACUUACACCAGUGGUGUGCCAGGGCCUCUUGAGCCUUUGGUCACAGACUGAAGGCUACACUGUCAGCUUCUCUAAUUUUGAGGUUUUGGGACUCAGACUGAUCCACCACUGGCUUCCUUGCUCCUCAACUUGCAGAUGGCUUCUCACGGGACUUGACUUUAUGAUCAUACUUGGCCAAUAAGAUGUUCCUGCCUAAGACUUUGAAUCUGGAAUGGGGAACACAGAGAACAUGAGCAACGAAGAAUUAUUCACAGCACAGCACAGCAGUGCUGACAGCAUCGACAGUCCUGUGGUGCCAGCAAGAAUCCAAAAGAAGUGUCCUACAUAAAUUCCCUUAAUCACUGACCAUUUAAUGAGGCUGAUUCAGCCUCAUACAAAUUUUGUAUGCUUCUUCAUACAAUUUUUAAUUGUGCUGUAAAAGUUAACCAGAGACAAUUUCUGUUGCUUGCACACAGUAAGUUGACUAAGCAAAAAAAUUCAGGAGAGAUUAUUUUAUAGAAGUCAAUGCAAAUGCAUUAAUUUACAAGAAGUGAAACUGCAAGUUCACUUUGCUGCCUUAUGGCCAGCAUAUUCUCUUACAAGGGAAGUCUAUAUGGCAAUCUGUGUUAUGAUCAGAAGAUUUGGGAAAGAUGGAAUCUGUGAGAGAGUUUUAUGACACACGGUUACAACUGAUCACAGGAUCAAACACUAAAACUCCAAUAUAUAUAUUUAUUCUUAUUAGCAAAGCUUUUAUGCUAUGGAGGAAAAAGAAAAAGAAAUAAGAAAUUCUGAGUUUCUCUAAACUUCCAGUAUGUGGAUGAGUUAAAAACUAUGUCAUCUUGGAUUCCCCAUUUUAAAUAUUUCAUAAUAAUGCAUUAUAAUUGGUACAUGUUAAUAUCAAUUUUUUCUUUUGCUGUUUUUGAAGUGGUGUGAAUCACCUGUAACAAGGUUUCCUUAUCAUCCAUUUAAUUAUUGUCCUAUAAUAUACUUUUCAAUACAGCAACUACUUUUUAUGUUUUGGGAUUACUUUUACUAUUGUUAGAUAAAACCUAUGGUUGAUUGUGUGCCUCUAGAAGAACUUCAAAAGUACAAUAUAAAUCUUGCUAACAAU
RNAcentral lists this long non-coding RNA (1754 nucleotides) under Homo sapiens (human). RNAcentral describes it as "non-protein coding LINC01697:25". Lineage: Eukaryota; Metazoa; Chordata; Mammalia; Primates; Hominidae. The record is from RNAcentral.